This 163-nucleotide ribosomal RNA is filed under the name Pyrus ussuriensis (Ussurian pear). Its description in RNAcentral is "5.8S ribosomal RNA". It matches the Rfam family "5.8S ribosomal RNA". From Rfam's summary of the family: 5.8S ribosomal RNA (5.8S rRNA) is a component of the large subunit of the eukaryotic ribosome. It is transcribed by RNA polymerase I as part of the 45S precursor that also contains 18S and 28S rRNA. Functionally, it is thought that 5.8S rRNA may be involved in ribosome translocation. RNAcentral also lists the same sequence under 1 other name. The record is from RNAcentral. Lineage: Eukaryota; Viridiplantae; Streptophyta; Magnoliopsida; Rosales; Rosaceae.
AAAACGACUCUCGGCAACGGAUAUCUCGGCUCUCGCAUCGAUGAAGAACGUAGCGAAAUGCGAUACUUGGUGUGAACUGCAGAAUCCCGUGAACCAUCGAGUCUUUGAACGCAAGUUGCGCCCGAAGCCUUUAGGCCGAGGGCACGCCUGCCUGGGCGUCACA